This 8499-nucleotide long non-coding RNA is filed under the name Podarcis lilfordi (Lilford's wall lizard). Lineage: Eukaryota; Metazoa; Chordata; Lepidosauria; Squamata; Lacertidae. The record is from RNAcentral.
UCUUUCUACAUGUUUUAUUCCUGUCACUCAACAGUACAUAGAAAUGUGACUGUUCCCUUCAGACUCCAUCAGAAGAGUCUCAACUCCUCCCCUGUACUUCCAUUACAGGUCAUAUGAUACACUCUGAGCUAACAUCCGGUGCUCAGUACAGAGAAUAGGCUCCACCUUUUCUCCAACAGUACAUCUGCACUGUUUUGCAUUCCAGCCAUCUGGAGCUGGCUUUUGCCUUGUUGCUUUUUCCUGACAUCCUCCCCCAAAAGCAUCAAUUGGCAAAACAUGAUCCAGAGAAGAGAACAAACAGUUGUUAUACAUAUAACAGUCCCCUGUUGUUUCAGUUCCACCCUUGGAACUCCCCACCACUGGUUUCACCAGUGUACCUCUCUGGUUGUCUGGCUUCCAAGGAAUGAGUGCUUCUGCAUUACCUUGGCUUGCUACCCUCUGUUGUGUCUUUGUCUCUGACUUAGACACUGCUUCAACCUGCUUUGAGUUGUUAACAAUAGCAGCACAUGCAACAGCUAAGUUAGCAAACUCUUUUGAGUACCUCUUUGGUGGUACACCCUUUGUAACUCUCUCAGACCUGCGUAUGAGGUGCUGAUCCUCUGUGCUCACUGGUUCAACCUUUGGACUCUGUUGAGAACCAGUAGCAAUCAGUGGUUCUUCCUUCAUCUGUGAAGGUCUAUCCAUUGUGUGAGAUUUCCUCUCAAUGACUGUUACAACUGAACUCUCUGAGCUAUCAUUGUCAUCGUCAGUACCACUGUAAUCUGUGACAUCAGAAAAAUCAUCAUCAUCAUCUGAAUUGUAUCCUGUGGGAAAUGUCUGUACUACCCGCUCUUGCUCUGGAGCACUCUCUAGGAACUUUGUGAGAAUCACCUGACCAGAUUCAGACAAAAUUACUCUGUAGAGACCCUUUUCAUAACCCACAAAAAUGCCUCUGGCAUUCUUUACUCCACCUGGAGCUUCUGUUCUCACAUGAGACCCGAAAACCUUAAAAUAGGCAACAGAAGGUUUUCUAUUGAACAGCUUCUCAAAAGGAGAACAUCCCAACUCUGUUGAGACUUUUCUCAACCACACAUGAAGAUAGGACGCUAGCGAUUCGGCCCAAUAUUCAUGUGGCAAAUGUGAACUCAGCAAUUGCGCAUUCAUCCCCUUUUGCAAUUCUUUGUUCACUCUCACACACACACCCCUGUUCCACGCUUCUUGCGAAACUGCAACUUUGUGGUCUAUCCCUUUUCCAUCCAGGAACUUCUGAAACUUCUGUAACAGAAAAACGUGUUUGUCAUCUGUGAAAAGACAAUCAAUGUUAGCAUCAUGCAUACUUUUAACCUUGUCACAAAACUCCUGAAACUUUUCUAAAGUUUCUUGCGGUUUCUCCAUCAUAUAAACCCAAGAAUAAUCAGUGAAACAAUCCACACACACAAGGUAAAAUCGUGCACCGCCUCUAGAUAGUUCUAGAGGACCAAUCACAUCAGCAUACACCCACUGAAAUGCUCUGUCGACCUUCUUCGUCACCUUCCUGGUGCUCACACUGGUCACACCUGCAAGAGAGAUUUUGUUAUAAACAGAAGAAUCACAUUUCAUGUAAUCACUUUGAUCAAAAGUCAACAAAUACAGUCCAUCUUUCUCUUUGGCAGUAAGAAACAGUUCUCCAUCUUUGUAGAUCUUGCAGCUUUUAGCAUCAUAGGACAGUUUCAGUCCUUUCUUUGCAAUCUGCGACACGCUCAGCAGAUUAAAUCUCAGUUCUGGAACCAGGUAAACAUCACUUAUAGUCAAGUUCAGACUCUCAAGAUACACAGUCCCAAUUCCGGUUGCUUCCAACUCCUGACCGUUGGGCUGUUUCACAGUGAAGCUUUGCUUCCUCAACGUCGAAAAUAGUCCUCUGUGCGGGCACAUAUGAACCAUGGCGCCCAUGUCAAUUAUGAAGGAGUUCCCAACAUCUGGCGUGGUUCCUUUCGCCAUCAUAGCCUUUGCAGGUUUCACCUGGCACUUGGAACGGCUUUUGCCUGACGCCUCAGGCUUCGUAGAGCUGCUCUUUGCUCUUCUUGACUGGCGCGGCUUCCUACAGUUUCGCUGUAGAUGCCCAGUCUGUCCACAAUUGUAGCAUCGGACAGCACUCAAUGCUACUCCAUGCUUCCCAGUAGCAUCAUCAGUGGGGAGAUUUGAACUCUGUUCUUCCCUCCCCCUGUCAGCAACACCCAUUGCACCUUGUUCAGGAACACCAACAGUUCCAACAGCCACAGUUCCUGCACUCUCCCCUCUGGGGUCAAAGCUCUCCUCAGCUUUCGUUGAGCUCUUAGGAACUUGGCCAGCAUCAUCUUGGCUCUGUUGGUUUCUGCUUUCGUUCACUGUGCAGCGAAAGCGCUUGUCACGAGACAGGUGUUUACAUUCCACAGUCUGUACUGUCUGUACUGUUGGAGUUUCUCACGGGAAAGGGAGGCUGGAUGUGACGUACACUGGUUUCCUGUUUUUCACUGUGUGUUUCUCUCCGAGCUGUCGAGGAGAGAGGAUGCAUUUUCUGCUCCGGCAGAGGCAAGAUGUCUUUCUGUAAUAUACCAGCUUUGAACUGUGAAUAAAGCAAUAUAGAGUAUGCAGCACGUACUCCUCAUCCUUCCGCUGGGCACGAGACUCUGCUUUAACUUAACACGUGGUUAUGGGCUCCAGAAGUCGAAUCGGAGUGCCGGCAAAGGAUCGGAAUGCAGAGGGACAGAUCGGAACGGAAUCUGCUCUGCGCGUAGAGGUGAUUGAUGAGGUAUGUGCUACUGCUCCGGGCAGCCUGCCAGCUUCAAGUUAAUGGCUUUAUGGCUGGACUUUGAACUUUUAAAGCCGGUUUUGCCGGGAAUAGGCAAAAGGCUCCCAGGCACAAGUCACUAUGCUGGGGAAAUCGAAAGUAACUUUUAAGUGCGCUUUUGUAAUAAGGCAGCUGCAGCAGUGACGCAGCAAGAUUUAAAGCAGCAUAUAUGACGCUGAAGGCUAAUGCCAGAGUCAUGAUGGCCCUUCAGGAUGCUUGUGGGAUUCCUAAGCUCAACAAGAAAAAUUAUGCCGACUGGGUUCUGUAUGCAGAGGCAAUUCUGCGGAAAGAGGGUUUGUUUGAGGUGAUUACAGAAACCCCCAGUUCCAGUUACAGAUGCAUGGGAAGCUAAGGAUUCCAAAGCAAGGGGAACUCUUACAUUGAUAGUAUCCCCAGAAGAGCUCUGUCUAUUGCGUGAUAAGACCUCAGCCAGAGAAAUUUGGGACGCUUUGAGAGAGGCUCACUUAAGGACAGAAGCUGGAUCCACUAUGUUUUACUUUAACAAGCUGCAUAAUAUGGCUCUUGCUGAAGGUGGAGAUGUGCGUUUACAUCUGAUGGAGAUGCAAAAUCUGAGACAUGAGCUGCAACAGAGAGGACUCAACUUUCCAGAGGCUGUGUAUUCUUUCAUGAUACUACAAUCUUUGGGUUCAGGUUGGGAGUCUGUUGCAACCCAGAUUGCUGUGCAACCAACUGCUCAGCUGACAGUGGACUUUGUUACUGCUGUGAUUUUAAAUGAAGCAGAUCGCCGGGGUGCUAGCUGCAUGGGCAAGGGGGGAGUCUUCACAGACGUCAUCCCAUAGUGCAGUGGAACCACCAGAUGGCGCCAAAGCUUUGAAGGCAGUGAAAUGCUACUCGUGUGGACGUCUAGGCCAUAUGAAGAGGGAAUGCAGACAUCCCAGGGCCAAGACAGAGCAGCGCAGCGAAAGCUCAUCGCGCGGAAAAGGCCGAGGCAAAGGCAAAGGUCCGGUGUCUAGGACAACGCAGCACAAGGCUAUGGUUUCACGCUUCACUCCAAAGGUUGCAGAGGUCCAGAAGACGUCUAGAUCUUUCUUCGUUGUUGAUUCAGCGGCGACCCACCACAUGUGCAACGAUAAGAGACUGUUUGUGUCUUUUACACCGCAGGAAGGUGCGAUUCACCAGGCGGAUGACCACACUAUUCCCAGUAAAGGCUACGGAACUGUUGUUCUUCACAGUUUGGACUUAUCGAUACAGAAUGUGCUUUACGUGCCAGACGCCAAACAUAAUCUGCUCAGCGUUGGACAGCUGAAUGAGCGGAACAUUGACGUUUCCUUCAAGAACAAGAAGUGCAUCAUCACAAAGAAAAAUGAUUAUGUAUUGCAUGCAGAAUAUGUUGAUCGUUUGUUUGUUUUGUAUUAUGAUGAUGUGGUGCAGGAUGACACUUGUUGCAUUGCAGGUUCUAACAAAAGUUUGCAUGCAGAAUGUAUUCACGAUUUUCAUAGAAAAUUUGGUCAUUUGCAUUUUGAGGCAGUAUCUAAAAUGCCUGCCUUGGUUGAAGGUAUGACUAUUAAACCCUGCAGGUACCACAUGAAGUGCAAAGCAUGCGCAGCAAACAAGGUGAAAAUGGCUGCGAAAGGUAAGGUGUCUAGUAGGAAAGCUACAGAACCAUACCAGGUUGUUCAUGCUGAUUUGGUUGGACCACUAGCGCCCUCUUUGGGUGGAAAUAGAUACUUCAUGGUUCUCAUUGAUGCAUUUUCUAGAUAUAUUUUUGUGUACAAUCUCAAGCAGAAAUCGGAGGCUUUUCCUAGGUUCAAGGAAUUCUGUGCUUGGUUGGAAAAUGUGCAUGGUAAGAAGAUAAAGACUCUUUUCAGUGAUCGCGGGGGGGAAUUCACUUCUCAGCAGUUUGAAGCUUUUCUGACUGAGAAAGGAAUUCAACACGAUUUGUCUAGUCCUCGCUCGCCAUGGCAGAAUGGACUUGCGGAACGGGCAAAUCAGACAUUGCUUCAAGGGUUAAAAACCUUGCUGCAUGAUGCCAAUCUUCCAGAGAGUUAUUGGGCCGAAUCUCUCUCGUGUUUUGUUUACAGUUACAAUCGCAGGUUAUCUUCAGCGAUUGGUUGUACCCCUAUGAGAAGAUGUUUGGCAAGAAGCCAUACAUCAAACACAUGAAGAUUUUGGUUCUGACAUGUGGGUUCGCUCACCACAAAACUCCAAGUUAGACAAGCGUGGAUUGCAUGGUAUCUUUCUAGGUUAUCAGAAAGGGUCUUACAGAAUAAUGAUGACUGACUCUAAGACAAUUAAGCUCACGAGAAGUGUUGAGUACAAUGCAAAGUGGGGGAGAAUGUGGGAAUUUUCCAAUGUUAUCCUGAUGACGGUGAUGAGACUGAGGAUAGUCAAAAGCAACCACAACAACCCACACCCACUGAUGAAGGUUCUGAGUCUGAAUCUGAAACUGAAUCGGGUGAUUCAGAGGAUUUCGAGAGUGCGAAAGCCUCUAUGCGACCCUCUGAAAGCUCUGAUCAAGAAUUGGAGGAACCAUUGUUCACAAUAGGUCGUUUUUCUCCUAAGAAGGAAGAGGAGAGUGUUGAAGACUUAAGGCUAAUUCGUAGGUCACAGAGAGCCACAAAAGGCAAACCUCCAAAGAGAUUUGCUGAUGAGUUUGCUACGAUAGCAGUAACAGCUGUUAAAAGCUCCAAGAAGGUAUUUGAACCUUCAAGUUUCCAAGAAAUCCAGGGUUUGGAUUCGAAGGAAGCUGAGCCAUGGUUAAAUGCCAUGAAGGCUGAGCUUGAUUCCUUAGAAAGGAACAAAACAUGGGAGCUAGUUCCAGUAGUUCCAGGAAUGAAACUGCUUGGAAGCAAAUGGGUCUUCAAAGCGAAGACAGAUCAAAAUGGCAAGAUAGUCAGACACAAAGCCAGAUUGGUAGCCAGAGGUUUUGCACAGGUACCAGGUCAAGACUAUCACGAGACCUAUUCACCCACAGUGAGAUAUGAAAGCAUUAGGCUUAUGCUCAAGCUAGCUGCAGAGGAAAAUCUACACAUUAGUCACCAUGAUAUUAAUACAGCUUUUCUGUACGGAUCUCUAGAUGAAUCACUUUAUAUGCUUCCACCUGAUGGCGUACAGGUAAAACAGGGAUUUGUUUGUGCUCUGAAGAAAUCCCUUUAUGGUCUCAAACAAAGUGCACGGUGUUGGCACACAAAACUCACUGAAGUAUUGUUUUCUCUAGGUUUUCAGCAAGGGAAAGCUGAUCCAUGUGUAUUUGUCAAAGAGGAGGGGCAAAAGAAACUGUACUGUUUGUUUUAUGUUGAUGAUUUAUUAUUCUUUUGGAAAGAUGUCGCAAUGUACAAUAACGCCCUAGCUCAACUGAAAGAGCACUUUGACAUGAAAGAUCUUGGUGAGGUAAACAACUACCUAUCUCUGGAAAUAGAGAGAGAUCAAGAUGGUAACAUUCUAGUACACCAGUCACGGAAAAUUGCUGAUGUGUUAAGCAAACUAAAUCUGAUGGAUGCUAACCCUGUAGACACACCGAUGACAACAGGUUAUCAGGUAGAUGACACUGAAGAAGCGUUUUCUGACACUACACUGUACAGGAGUGUGCUAGGCAAGCUAAACUUCAUUGCCAGAUGUUCAAGACCAGACAUUGCUGUUAGCUGUAAUUUGCUAAGCAGACAAGUCAACAAUCCUAGUGUCAAGCAUUGGAAAGCUCUGAAACGCAUAGCACGGUAUUUGAAAGGCACUAUGCAUUACAGACUGAGAUUUAACAAUCAGAAGUCUGGUGGUCUUGAGAUAUUUGCAGAUGCAAGUUUUGGAAGUGACGCUACAGACAGGAAAAGUACGUCUGGAGUUUGCUACAUGUACAAUCAGAGUCUGUUUGAUUGGUCAUGCAAGAAGCAAACAACAGUUAGCUUAAGUACUUGUGAAGCCGAACUCAAUGCACUGUCUUAUUCACUUAAGGAUUGUGAAUGGUUAGUACAAUUGUGCAAAGAUAUGAAAAUUCCUGUCAAAUGUCCAAUCCAGGUUUACCAGGACAACAAAGCAUGUUUGGCUUUGCUGAAGUCUGAAGGUUGUAAGCAAAGCACAAAGCACUUGCAAUUAAAGUUGCAGCAUGCUAGGGAAUGUAUUCAGAAGGGACUCGUAACGGUGUCCUAUAUGCCAGGUAAUGAAAUUCCUGCUGAUGUAUUGUCCAAGAUUGUAUCAAGGAAUCAACACUGUACCUAUGUGCAGAAGUUGGGUUUGUACUGAUAUUGUACAAACACGCUGCCCAGUGAUGUUCACAGAAAGGGGGAGGAUGUUGGUUUCUGCUUUCGUUCACUGUGCAGCGAAAGCGCUUGUCACGAGACAGGUGUUUACAUUCCACAGUCUGUACUGUCUGUACUGUUGGAGUUUCUCACGGGAAAGGGAGGCUGGAUGUGACGUACACUGGUUUCCUGUUUUUCACUGUGUGUUUCUCUCCGAGCUGUCGAGGAGAGAGGAUGCAUUUUCUGCUCCGGCAGAGGCAAGAUGUCUUUCUGUAAUAUACCAGCUUUGAACUGUGAAUAAAGCAAUAUAGAGUAUGCAGCACGUACUCCUCAUCCUUCCGCUGGGCACGAGACUCUGCUUUAACUUAACAGGCUCACCCCUUCUGGGGUAGUUAUCCAUCCAGACCCUGAUGAAUAACUGUCUCUGGUCAGGGGAGAUGGGUAAGGCAAAUCUCCCCCCUUCUUGGCAUCCAUCUUGAAGCCAAGCCUCCAGCUCACACUGUCAAACAAACUGUAAAAUCCAACAGUUGUUUUUUUCUUUGUCACGCAGGCAAAACUGCAAGUUGUUUACGGUCUUUUGCACCUGGCAGCUAAACUCUGGCUGCUAUGAAAGGUCCCUUCCAAGAGCUCGUAAACCUUGUAGCCAAAACAUUCUCUGAUUUUGUUUCGCUUUCCCAGGCUUACACUCACAGUCCAGCCCCUUUGCCAGUAACUUUCCAUCUUUCCGUUACUUAGCAACAAUGCAUUUCAAUAGGACAUCUUAUCUUAACCACAAGAAUUUGUGGAAUGCAGGCCUCUUCUCCCGGAGCUGUAUUUUUCCAAGACGCAGCUCCCCGUGAACCAGUGAAUUAAUCAGACUGCGUUCACACUUUUAGCCCGAAAUGCAGCAGCAUACCUUGAACUCCGUUGCUUGGAAAAACACUUCUUCUUUCCACCAGCUGUCUGUGGAGCCUCUGGCUUCUUUCAGACGCUUGCCUUCUCCCUUGGAGCAGAGGAGGACAAUCCACCAGCCUCUCAUGCAGAUGUCCGAUGAAUCGCAACCAUCCGAAGGCUGCCAUAUAUCAGUAUCUUCAGCCCACAGGCAGAGGUACCUGGCCUCCCCCGAGGCAAUUGAGCGAGAUACUGGAUGUUUACCGUCCGUCUGCGACCUCCGGCAGGCUAGGUAAACAAACCGGCGAUCCUCCUCAAACGUGAGCAGGACACACCCUCCUCCUUCCUCCCUCCCUGCAUUCCUUCCCAGGGAGGGGAAGAAGAGACAGACAGGAGUCUUUCUACAUGUUUUAUUCCUGUCACUCAACAGUACAUAGAAAUGUGACUGUUCCCUUCAGACUCCAUCAGAAGAGUCUCAACUCCUCCCCUGUACUUCCAGUACAGGUCAUAUGAUACACUCUGAGCUAACAUCCGGUGCUCAGUACAGAGAAUAGGCUCCACCUUUUCUCCAACAGUACAUCUGCACUGUUUUGCAUUCCAGCCAUCUGGAGCUGGCUUUUGCCUUGUUGCUUUUUCCUGACAGUCUCCACCUCA